This is a long non-coding RNA of Carassius auratus (goldfish), 310 nucleotides long. RefSeq lists it as uncharacterized. The transcript is spliced from 3 exons. Lineage: Eukaryota; Metazoa; Chordata; Actinopteri; Cypriniformes; Cyprinidae. The record is from RefSeq and is a predicted model, not a curated record.
GAUCAUGCAGAGUCUGCAUUAAAACUGGAGUUUGGACCUUCAGCCCGUUGACCUCCACUGAAGUCCAUUAUAUGGAGAAAAAUCCUGGAAUGUUUGUCUCAAAAACCUUGAUUUCUUUGCGACCGAAAACAGAAAGACGUGAACAUCUUGGAUGACAUGGGGGGGGUGCGUGUGAUAUGACCAGUAAUUGUUUCCUAGGAGAAACACAGGACAACCACAGUGAGGAAACAUCAGUAGAAGUGCAGCCAGACUGUCUCAGCAUCCGCUGCAGAUGUCAGCCACAUUUAUCAUUCUGACUCCAACAAUAAAC